Esox lucius (northern pike) is the source of this 1115-nucleotide long non-coding RNA. RefSeq lists it as uncharacterized. NCBI's taxonomy places the organism in Eukaryota, Metazoa, Chordata, Actinopteri, Esociformes, Esocidae. The record is from RefSeq and is a predicted model, not a curated record. The transcript has 3 exons.
CAGGAACCAGCCUUGAACCACACAGAAAACGUGUGCGCAUAUUAAUUAAUAGAUAACCAUAUUCCUGGAUUUCAGCUUGGUGAGUGAUGACAGAGACUGUGACCCCCGGAAUGGAGCCUGAACAGAACCUAAACCAUGCAUUCAUCUAUCCAUGUCUUUGCAUGGAUCGUUGCUUGACAUAAUUGCAGAAUCAAGCAAGGAUACCUAAAAGGUUACUCUCGAGGGCGAUUGCAACACAAAUUGUCCACUAGGCUAAUUCAAGCUGAACUCUCUCAGAACUGGUGGUCAACCUCUACCAAGAUCUCCAGUGCCAUCCCACUUUUCAGCAGACACUCUUACUGUCUUCCAGUUGGAGCUUGUACCCACUACAUGACCAUGGGGCUCCCUAUUAGCAGACAAACCUUUUCAUUAAACUGCUGCCAGCUCCAUCAUCGAUGAAGGCAAGUGAGCCAGUUCCAGUUGCAGCCAUAUUUGCCUAAGCCAUAACAUCCCAUCAACAAAUGUAACAGAUGAUACAGCAUUUGGGGAACAAAUCCACAAUAGACUUAAAAGUAUAACAUGGAUUUUGCCAGUUUAAUUUAAUAAGUAGCCAGGCAUUCUCUGUCUAUGAUGGCACUGAAGUGGCCAACAAAACAUAACAUGGACAUCUAACUAUUGAUUUGCACCUGGCAAUGUAGCUUCUGUAUGUCUGCUGAUUAUCUCUUCUGCUGAUGGUAGUGGUUGAGACAACCACGCCUGCCCCCUGGAGAAUGUUCCUGAUACUGUAUGUCUAUAGUUGUUCUUUUAUUUUUUAUAUAGUAAGUAUUCUUCAGUCAUCGACUGUAGAGGGUCGCUUUGGCCUAUCAGUCCUUUUGCGAUCACUGAUUUCACCAGUGUUUUCCUACUUUUUACUUAGUUCCUAACCAUUGUUUUUGUAUCAAGCUGAAGAUAAUUCAACUUGAUAAUUUCUUCCUUGACUUUCACUGACACCUCUUUUGUCCUCAUGUAUGGGAAAGACACCAAUUGCAGACACCAAAUGCGAAAUCCAAGCUUAGAAUCAAGACUACACAUUGACAGCUCUCUAAUGCCAGCCACAUGUACAGUGGAUAUAAAAAGUCUACACACCCCUGUUAAAA